UAGCGGCGGACGGGUGAGUAACACGUGGGUAACCUACCUAUAAGACUGGAAUAACUCCGGGAAACCGGGGCUAAUGCCGGAUAACAUGUUGAACCGCAUGGUUCUACAGUGAAAGACGGUCUUGCUGUCACUUAUAGAUGGACCCGCGCCGUAUUAGCUAGUUGGUGGGGUAACGGCUUACCAAGGCGACGAUACGUAGCCGACCUGAGAGGGUGAUCGGCCACACUGGAACUGAGACACGGUCCAGACUCCUACGGGAGGCAGCAGUAGGGAAUCUUCCGCAAUGGGCGAAAGCCUGACGGAGCAACGCCGCGUGAGUGAUGAAGGUCUUCGGAUCGUAAAGCUCUGUUGUUAGGGAAGAACAAAUGUGUAAGUAACUGUGCACAUCUGA
Molecule: ribosomal RNA, 391 nt
Filed under: uncultured Staphylococcus sp.
Lineage: Bacteria; Bacillati; Bacillota; Bacilli; Caryophanales; Staphylococcaceae
Description: bacterial SSU rRNA
Rfam family: Bacterial small subunit ribosomal RNA
Source: RNAcentral